CCCCUAGAUGUUCUGGGCCGCACGCGCGCUACACUGAACAGUUCAACAAGUCUUAACCUUGGCCGAUAGGUCUGGGUAAUCUUUGAACGCUGUUCGUGAUUGGGAUAGACCUUUGCAAUUAUGGGUCUUCAACGAGGAAUUCCUAGUAAACGCAAGUCAUCAGCUUGCAUUGAUUACGUCCCUGCCCUUUGUACACACCGCCCGUCGCACCUACCGAUUGAAUGGUCCGGUGAAAUCUCGGGACGGCGGCUCGGUCGCUUGCGUCCGACUGCUGAAACUUGAUUAAACCAUAUCAUUUAGAGGAGGGUGAAGUCGUAACA
Molecule: ribosomal RNA, 320 nt
Filed under: uncultured eukaryote
Lineage: Eukaryota
Description: partial 18S ribosomal RNA
Rfam family: Eukaryotic small subunit ribosomal RNA
Source: RNAcentral